UUUCCCUAAUUCUCCCAUCUUUCUUGGCUUGCUUUCACUCCUUUGCUUCCUCUACUGCCUCCUCCCUUCCAUGUGGCACAGGAGAUGGGGAGCAGGUGUUGCAGUCAGCCCAUAAGAGUUCCUCUCUGCUGCUUCUUCCGCUAAACACUUUUCAGAUAUGUGCAAAGGACGGAAAAGUAAUAAAUCUAUGCUCAUGCAGCAGGAGAGGCAGACCACUGCAUACCUGGACUUCCCACCAUGAUCAACUCCCUGGGCCAUUUCUCCUCAGCAGCUUUUGACUCUGGUAAGCAAAGCUUGAAAUCUGCAGAAGCACAACUCUCUUUAUCUUGAAGCAAUAACAUGUACAAGACAAAACCAUGUUCUGCUGCUGAAACACAUAUAUGAAGAGUUUCUUCAUGCACUUUAUGUGCACUUGUCCUGGGAAAUUGUGGUUGGCCUGGUGUGGCUGAGGACAGCACUGGCACUCCCAAAAGGAUGGAAGAUAAAAACUGCUAAGUGACUGGACUCGUAUCCUAGAGAUGUUGUUCUUGAGCUGAAUGACCUGUCAAGCCUGGGGAGUGUAUUUUAUAGCUUUGUACACAAAAGGACUCAUGAGCAUUACCCCAUCAAACUCAUAAUUGGGUGUAAAAGAGCAGGAAGAGAAAAGAGGAGAAAACACGGGAAAGGAAAUAAAAAAGGAGGACAAAGGAAGAAUGUGUCCUCUUGAGGAGGGGGAGUGAAAAAGCAUAUUGGUAGGAGUCAGGCUGCAGUCUGAAGCUAAUCCACCACACAUAGCAAAACAGAGUCCCAGGCAGCCUGCAAGUAUUCCUUAUAUUUUUACGUGAUGAAGCUACAUGCUGAUGGGGGUCUGUCUGAUGAAGCAAAGUCAGCACAGAGGUUCCCAGACUGGCAUGAUGUUAUGCACAAGAGCACUGGAAAAGGUCUCCACCAGCCACAACGAUGUAAGCUCUUGUUAAGGGAGACAUAACUUGCUACUGGGAACCAAGGAUCUGACUUGAACUUCAACUUAGUGCAAGAUUUUGGCCAGCAUAUCCCAUUGAGGCCCAGGAACACAUGCUUUGCAGCAGCUGAUCUUUCAGGAAAACAACAAUUUUGAUGACACCCAGAGAAAGAGAGCCUACCGCUUCCUUUAAUAAUAUAUAAUAAUAGUAAUUAAUCUCACUGUUUAAAGGUGUGUUCUUUAUUUAAAUCUGUCUUUAUUUCCUAUUUUUUGACCGUGGUAAAUUUUCAUAUCUGACCACCUCUCAUAUUCAUCAGUAGACUGACACCAUCCUUUACCAGGUUAUCAUUCUUAAUGAUAAAAUAAAUGAUUUGCCAUAAGCAACAUAAUUCUAAAAACAGACAUUUAUGUAAUGUUAAUACUGCACUUAGAUCAAGAUCCUGAAAAUUCCUCUAUAGCUUCAAAUGCCAUCAUGAAAAUUCCCGAGUUCCAAUAAAAAAGAUUUUAUUUUCCUCCAGGUAAAAGAAAAAAAAUAUAUUCCUGUGUCAUAUAACUAAUAUCAUCCUUAAAGAGAUGCAAAGUUAAUGUUGGAAGUACAGCAUAAGAAUCAGUUUCUGAACAAAACCUUCAAAGCUUCAUUCUUUGCAUGAUUCUUAUUGUAUAAUAUAAAUAUAUAUUAUAUAUUUAUUAUAUAUAUAAUAAUAUACAUGAUAUAUAUUAUUAUAUAUAUUGUAUAAUAUAAAUAUAUAUUACCAGAAAGCUGAGAUUUUGCUUUAGAUAAUAACUAAAUAAAAAUGAGAAAAAUCCAAGGUGUGUUCAUAACACUGACUGCACAUCUGUUGCAAAAGUUAAAAUAUAAUUUCGCAGGUGAUUUUGUAUUAGAGAUGCAAGAUGAGCUAUGUGACCUGGGCAAGCAAGGCAAAAUGCAAUGUUCAGCAGUGAUUAUCUUUAGGAAGAAGAAUCCAUGGCAUUUGAAUGAAAACAUACACGAGUUUUUUCAUUCAUAUAAACAUAUACAUGUUUAUAUAUGUAUAUAAAACCAAGACUGGCAAGGUUGGAGGAAUAUGUGUAUGAGCCAGAGGGUAUGCAUGUAUGUGCACAUAAAAAAUGCAGUGAAAUGAAAUGAAAUAAAUAAAAUUAAAUUAAGAAGAGCUAAGCCGUGUGUCAAAAUUUCCUGAAGUUGAUUUCUGUCACACCAGCUUCUCAAGUAGAAGGGGAGUAUUUAGGCAGCUUUACUCUCCCUAAGCACCAGCAGUUCCACCAAAUAAAGCAAAAAAGACAUUUUAAUCACCAGUGGUUUGUCACAAUCUUUGGUUUCUUUUUGUCCUCUAAAUGUAUAUCAUGUUAUUUCAGAUCCUUAUCAUUCACAUGUCAUCUACAGUUUCCCACAGAAUUAUAAAAGCUUUAUCUCAUUCACUGUCACUGUCAUCUAACUCAGGGGGCUGUCUGCCUUGGGAACAAUUGGCUUUACUAAGAUUUAGGCCAAAAGACA
Molecule: long non-coding RNA, 2432 nt
Organism: Anas platyrhynchos (mallard)
Lineage: Eukaryota; Metazoa; Chordata; Aves; Anseriformes; Anatidae
Source: RefSeq, a predicted model, not a curated record